GGAACGAACGCUGGCGGCAUGCCUAACACAUGCAAGUCGAACGAGACCUUCGGGUCUAGUGGCGCACGGGUGCGUAACGCGUGGGAACCUGCCCUUAGGUUCGGAAUAACAGUUAGAAAUGACUGCUAAUACCGGAUAAUGUCUUCGGACCAAAGAUUUAUCGCCUAUGGAUGGGCCCGCGUUGGAUUAGCUAGUUGGUGGGGUAAAG
This 208-nucleotide ribosomal RNA is filed under the name uncultured soil bacterium. Its description in RNAcentral is "partial 16S ribosomal RNA". It matches the Rfam family "Bacterial small subunit ribosomal RNA", at positions 27 to 262 of the family's 1533-position model. The record is from RNAcentral.